RNAcentral lists this ribosomal RNA (460 nucleotides) under uncultured bacterium. Its description in RNAcentral is "partial 16S ribosomal RNA". It matches the Rfam family "Bacterial small subunit ribosomal RNA", at positions 338 to 795 of the family's 1533-position model. The record is from RNAcentral.
CCUACGGGUGGCAGCAGUGAGGAAUAUUGGUCAAUGGGCGGAAGCCUGAACCAGCCAAGUAGCGUGAAGGAAGACGGUACUUAGUAUUGUAAACUUCUUUUGUCGGGGAACAAAGUCGGAGACGCGUGUCCGGAUGAGUGUACCCGAUGAAAAAGCAUCGGCUAACUCCGUGCCAGCAGCCGCGGUAAUACGGAGGAUGCGAGCGUUAUCCGGAUUUAUUGGGUUUAAAGGGAGCGGAGGCGGGAUGUUAAGUCAGCGGUAAAAUGUCGUGGCUCAACCCUCGCCGGGCGGUGGAAACUGGUUUGCUAGAGUGGGAGAGACGUAUGCGGAAUUCGUGGUGUAGCGGUGAAAUGCAUAGAUAUCACGAAGAACUCCGAUUGCGAAGGCAGCAUACGGGAUCCAUACUGACGCUGAGGCACGAAAGCGUGGGGAUCGAACAGGAUUAGAUACCCUGGUAGUC